AAUCAACGCUGGCGGCGUGCCUAACACAUGCAAGUCGAACGAGAAAGUGGAGCAAUCCAUGAGUAAAGUGGCGCACGGGUGAGUAACACGUGACUAACCUACCCUGGAGUGGGGGAUAACUGAGGGAAACCUUAGCUAAUACCGCAUAAUACCUACGGGUCAAAGGAGCAAUUCGCUUCAGGAGGGGGUCGCGGCCGAUUAGUUAGUUGGCGGGGUAAUGGCCCACCAAGACGAUGAUCGGUAUCCGGCCUGAGAGGGCGCACGGACACACUGGAACUGAAACACGGUCCAGACUCCUACGGGAGGCAGCAGUGGGGAAUUUUGCGCAAUGGGGGAAACCCUGACGCAGCAACGCCGCGUGGAGGAUGAAGUACUUCGGUACGUAAACUCCUUUCGAUCGGGACGAUUAUGACGGUACCGAGAGAAGAAGCCCCGGCUAACUUCGUG
RNAcentral lists this ribosomal RNA (447 nucleotides) under uncultured bacterium. Its description in RNAcentral is "bacterial SSU rRNA". It matches the Rfam family "Bacterial small subunit ribosomal RNA", at positions 32 to 507 of the family's 1533-position model. The record is from RNAcentral.